AUAUCAAUAAGCGGAGGAAAAGAAACUAACAAGGAUUCCCCUAGUAACUGCGAGUGAAGCGGGAAAAGCUCAAAUUUAAAAUCUGGCGGUCCUUGGCUGUCUGAGUUGUAAUUUAGAGAAGCGUCUUCCGCGCCGGACCGUGCACAAGUCUCCUGGAAUGGAGCGUCGUAGAGGGUGAGAAUCCCGUCUUUGGCACGGACACCCGGUGCUUCUGUGAUGCGCUCUCGAAGAGUCGAGUUGUUUGGGAAUGCAGCUCAAAAUGGGUGGUGAACUCCAUCUAAAGCUAAAUAUUGGCGAGAGACCGAUAGCGAACAAGUACCGUGAGGGAAAGAUGAAAAGCACUUUGGAAAGAGAGUGAAACAGUAC
This 366-nucleotide ribosomal RNA is filed under the name uncultured fungus. RNAcentral's name for it is "eukaryotic LSU rRNA". It matches the Rfam family "Eukaryotic large subunit ribosomal RNA", at positions 40 to 398 of the family's 3401-position model. Lineage: Eukaryota; Fungi. The record is from RNAcentral.